UGUGUGUCUGUGUGCUGGUGUUGGUGUUGGUCGCCCCAUCAGCGCGGAUUUACUACGCCUUUUGUAGUUUGAAGUCUAGACGUGCUGCGAAGAUUCUGUGGAAUGUCCUAGUGUUCCGACAGUACAGUGAGAGUGCCAGUGUACCCUCACACUGGUGUUGUGCCGAGGUUCGAAACCUUUCGUGACGUAAAGAGGUCAUCAUCAGAGAUCUCGUGUUCGCAUAUCAUGUGAUGAUUUUGUCCUUUCGGGACGUCGUAUCAAAAUGUGUGUCAAAGCUACCAACGUUUUUUCGAUUUGGAUAAUAAAAGUGUACUAUUGCUGUUAACAAUAAGAUAUAUAUCUGUUGUGUGUGGACUUUCCUUAUUCUGUGUCAGUGGAGUACCACGUUUUCACAAAAUGACUCAACGUGUUGUAAUGAGUACGUUUAAGUGUGUAUUUUGUUGUGAGUCGUGCUGUACUUUAUGGGUACAAUAAUGUGGCUGAUGAGAUAAGUUGAGAGGUCAAUAUUGGUGCUGAAAGAAGACGGGAUACCCUGUGUGGUCAAGUUUCAACUCCGGUCCCACACUUUUCAUGAUUUAGCCACUGUCAACUUAAUUCAGUUCGUGCAAUUCUGGAAAUAUUUUAUUAUCCUGUCGUCGUCGGUUUUUUUACCCUAAAAUGAUACGUCGACGUUCGUGAGGUUGCUGUUUCUUAAAG
Long non-coding RNA from Aplysia californica (California sea hare), 696 nucleotides. RefSeq lists it as uncharacterized. The transcript is spliced from 2 exons. NCBI's taxonomy places the organism in Eukaryota, Metazoa, Mollusca, Gastropoda, Aplysiida, Aplysiidae. The record is from RefSeq and is a predicted model, not a curated record.